UGGGGAAUUUUGGACAAUGGGGGCAACCCUGAUCCAGCAAUGCCGCGUGAGUGAAGAAGGCCUUCGGGUUGUAAAGCUCUUUUGUCAGGGAAGAAACAGCAGCUCUAACACAGUCUGCGAAUGACGGUACCUGAAGAAUAAGCACCGGCUAACUACGUG
This 159-nucleotide ribosomal RNA is filed under the name uncultured Oxalobacter sp. Its description in RNAcentral is "partial 16S ribosomal RNA". It matches the Rfam family "Bacterial small subunit ribosomal RNA", at positions 355 to 507 of the family's 1533-position model. Lineage: Bacteria; Pseudomonadati; Pseudomonadota; Betaproteobacteria; Burkholderiales; Oxalobacteraceae. The record is from RNAcentral.